AACGAACGCUGGCGGCGUGGAUAAGACAUGCAAGUCGAACGGGACAAUUCGAGUAGCAAUAUUUGGAUUGUUUAGUGGCGAAAGGGUGCGUAACACGUAGCUACCUACCUCGAAAUGGGGGAUAAUCCCGCGAAAGCGAGACUAAUACCGCAUGUGACUGAAAAGUUAAAGUUGGGGAUCGUAAGACCUGACGUUUUUGAGAUGGGGCUGCGGCCUAUCAGCUAGUUGGCGGGGUAAUGGCCCACCAAGGCAAUGACGGGUAGCUGGUCUGAGAGGACGACCAGCCACACUGGAACUGAGACACGGUCCAGACACCUACGGGUGGCAG
This 328-nucleotide ribosomal RNA is filed under the name uncultured Verrucomicrobiota bacterium. RNAcentral's name for it is "bacterial SSU rRNA". It matches the Rfam family "Bacterial small subunit ribosomal RNA", at positions 29 to 351 of the family's 1533-position model. The record is from RNAcentral. Lineage: Bacteria; Pseudomonadati; Verrucomicrobiota.